This 586-nucleotide ribosomal RNA is filed under the name Pseudomunida fragilis. Its description in RNAcentral is "partial 16S ribosomal RNA". It matches the Rfam family "Bacterial large subunit ribosomal RNA", at positions 1795 to 2644 of the family's 2925-position model. Lineage: Eukaryota; Metazoa; Arthropoda; Malacostraca; Decapoda; Chirostylidae. The record is from RNAcentral.
UUYGCCUGUUUAUCAAAAACAUGUCUAUAUGAAAAUAUAUAAAGUCUAACCUGCCCACUGAUAUCUAAUUAAAGGGCCGCGGUAUUUUGACUGUGCGAAGGUAGCAUAAUAAUUUGUCUUUUAAUUGAAGACUGGAAUGAAUGGUUGGACGAGAAAUAAACUGUCUCUUUAAAAAAAUUUGAAUUUUACUUUUAAGUGAAAAGGCUUAAAUAAAUUUAAGGGACGAUAAGACCCUAUAAAUCUUUAUAUUUAAUUUUUUUUACUUUAAUUUAUAUAUUUAAUAAAUAAAAAUUAUAAAAAUAUUUUAUUGGGGCAAUAAAAAUAUAAUUUUUAACUGUUUUAUAAAACUAACAAUAAAUAUUUGAUCAUUUUUAAAAGAUCCUUAAUAAAGAUUACAAGAUUAAGUUACUUUAGGGAUAACAGCGUAAUUUUUUUUAAGAGUCCAUAUCGAAAAAAAAGUUUACGACCUCGAUGUUGAAUUAAAAUUCCCUUAUGGUGCAGAAGUUAUAAAGGAAAGUCUGUUCGACUUUUAAUAUUUUACAUGAUUUGAGUUCAGACCGGCGUAAGCCAGGUUGGGUUCUAUCUA